AUCUCCAGUCACGUUCCAUACCCUGUCGCGUUGCAUGUAAAUAUCGUCAAUGUCCCUCAGCCAGCUGCUGCAGCCAUCCAGAGACAUUAUAACGAUGAAGAUCCUGAGAAGGAAAAGCGAAUAAAGGAAUUGGAGUUGCUCCUGAUGUCAACAGAGAACGAACUGAAGGGACAGCAGGCAUUACCAACACAGAACCAUACUUGCAGCUAUCCCGGGUGGCACAGCACCUCCAUUGUGGACCAGACCAGACCUCAUGGAGACAGUGCACCUGUUUCCUGUUUGGGAGAAAACCAUGCCACUCCGUCUCUGCCUGCAGAUCCUGGCUCUCUACCUGAAGAAAGUGCCUCGCCAGCAAGUUCUUGAACACUUCCAGCAACCAUGAAAACUCGGGCUUAGAUACGCCUACUUUACCCUCCACGCCUCUCAUUGGUCACAAACUGACACCGUGUCACCGAGACCAGACUGUGAAAACUCAAAAGGAAAACUCCAUCUUUAGAACUCCAGCUAUCAAAAGGUCAAUCCUCGAAAGCUCUCCCAGAACUCCCACACCAUUCAAACAUGCCCUGGCAGCUCAAGAAAUUAAAUACGGUCCCCUGAAGAUGCUACCUCAGACCCCCUCUCAUGUAGUGGAAGACCUACAAGAUGUGAUCAAGCAGGAAUCUGAUGAAUCCGGAAUUGUUGCUGAGUUUCAUGAGAAUGGACCACCGUUACUGAAGAAA
This 719-nucleotide long non-coding RNA is filed under the name Rattus norvegicus (Norway rat). Its description in RNAcentral is "long non-coding RNA NONRATT001987". The record is from RNAcentral. Lineage: Eukaryota; Metazoa; Chordata; Mammalia; Rodentia; Muridae.